GACGAACGCUGGCGGCGUGCUUAACACAUGCAAGUCGAACGGAAAGGCCCUGCUUUUGUGGGGUGCUCGAGUGGCGAACGGGUGAGUAACACGUGAGUAACCUGCCCUUGACUUUGGGAUAACUUCAGGAAACUGGGGCUAAUACCGGAUAGGAGCUCCUGCUGCACGGUGGGGGUUGGAAAGUUUCGGCGGUGGGGGAUGGACUCGCGGCUUAUCAGCUUGUUGGUGGGGUAGUGGCUUACCAGGGCUUUGACGGGUAGCCGGCCUGAGAGGGGGACCAGCGACAUUGGGACUGCGGGACGGACCAGACUCCUACGGGAGGCAGCAGUGGGGAAUAUUACGCAGUGGGCGGAAGCCAGAGGCAGAAACGCCGCGUGCGGGAUGACGGCCUACGGGUGGUAAACCGCUUUGGCAUGUGCCGAGGCGUGAGUGACGGUAAUGGGUCAAGAAGCACCGGCUAACUACGUG
Molecule: ribosomal RNA, 468 nt
Filed under: uncultured bacterium
Lineage: Bacteria
Description: partial 16S ribosomal RNA
Rfam family: Bacterial small subunit ribosomal RNA
Source: RNAcentral